Molecule: transfer-messenger RNA, 372 nt
Filed under: Dactylosporangium vinaceum subsp. matsuzakiense
Lineage: Bacteria; Bacillati; Actinomycetota; Actinomycetes; Micromonosporales; Micromonosporaceae
Description: Dactylosporangium matsuzakiense transfer-messenger RNA
Rfam family: transfer-messenger RNA
About the family: Bacterial tmRNA, also known as 10Sa RNA or SsrA, is named for its dual tRNA and mRNA-like properties. Its role is to liberate the mRNA from a stalled ribosome.
Source: Rfam by way of RNAcentral
GGGGGUGACUGGUUUCGACUUUGUUUGUGGCGAUAGGGGAAGCGAGCCGAGGAAGCCGACGUUGUCUCGCUAAUCAACCGUCGGAAAGUUAUAAGCGCCAAUGUUAAGCGCUCUGAGCUCACGCUCGCUGCCUAAGCGAUCCUGAGCUCUGUCGGUCUGGGAGUGCCUUCGGCCCAGUAACCGGCAUCAGCUAGAAGGCUGGCCAACCGAGCCCGGUCACGGGGCUCGCGCGGUGAGAUUAAUUGUGGCUGGGCCCGUCAUACCAACUCGCUCGCGUGAUUGGUAGGGCCGAGAGAGACACAGCGAGCUGCGCUCGGAGAAGCCCUAACAAAGCGACGAAGGACCCGGGUUCGAUUCCCGGCACCUCCACCA